RNAcentral lists this ribosomal RNA (215 nucleotides) under uncultured bacterium. RNAcentral describes it as "partial 16S ribosomal RNA". It matches the Rfam family "Bacterial small subunit ribosomal RNA", at positions 125 to 334 of the family's 1533-position model. The record is from RNAcentral.
CCGUAGCCUGGUAGCGGGGGAUAACUAUGGAAACGAUAGCUAAUACCGCAUAACAGUAGAUAUCGCAUGAUAGCUGCUUGAAAGGUGCAACUGCACCACUACCAGAUGGACCUGCGUUGUAUUAGCUAGUUGGUGAGGUAACGGCUCACCAAGGCAACGAUACAUAGCCGACCUGAGAGGGUGAUCGGCCACACUGGGACUGAGACACGGCCCAG